CAGAGGGCGCGAGCGUUGUCCGGAAUCACGUGGGCGUAAAGGGCGCGUAGGUGGCCACUAUAAGGCCGUGGUGAAAGUUCGGGGCUCAACCCUGAAUCUGCCGCGGCGACUGUAGGGCUUGGGCACCGUAGAAGCAGAUGGAAUUCCGGGUGUAGCGGUGGAAUGCGUAGAGAUCCGGAAGAACACCGGUGGCGAAGGCGGUCUGCUGGGCGGUGAGCUCGCAAGAGCUCAAUAGCCGACACUGAGGCGCGACAGCGUGGGGAGCAAACAGGAUUAGAUACCCUGGUAGUCCACGCCGUAAACGAUGGGCACUAGGUGCUUUGGGGAGCGACCCUCAGGGUACCGGCGCUAACGCAUGAAGUGCCCCGCCUGGGGAGUACGGCCGCAAGGCUG
Molecule: ribosomal RNA, 393 nt
Filed under: uncultured organism
Description: bacterial SSU rRNA
Rfam family: Bacterial small subunit ribosomal RNA
Source: RNAcentral